This 495-nucleotide ribosomal RNA is filed under the name uncultured bacterium. RNAcentral's name for it is "partial 16S ribosomal RNA". It matches the Rfam family "Bacterial small subunit ribosomal RNA", at positions 28 to 507 of the family's 1533-position model. The record is from RNAcentral.
GACGAACGCUGGCGGCGUGCCUAAUACAUGCAAGUAGAACGCUGAAGGAGGAGCUUGCUUCUCUGGAUGAGUUGCGAACGGGUGAGUAACGCGUAGGUAACCUGCCUGGUAGCGGGGGAUAACUAUUGGAAACGAUAGCUAAUACCGCAUAAGAGUAGAUGUUGCAUGACAUUUGCUUAAAAGGUGCACUUGCAUCACUACCAGAUGGACCUGCGUUGUAUUAGCUAGUUGGUGGGGUAACGGCUCACCAAGGCGACGAUACAUAGCCGACCUGAGAGGGUGAUCGGCCACACUGGGACUGAGACACGGCCCAGACUCCUACGGGAGGCAGCAGUAGGGAAUCUUCGGCAAUGGACGGAAGUCUGACCGAGCAACGCCGCGUGAGUGAAGAAGGUUUUCGGAUCGUAAAGCUCUGUUGUAAGAGAAGAACGAGUGUGAGAGUGGAAAGUUCACACUGUGACGGUAUCUUACCAGAAAGGGACGGCUAACUACGUG